CGGCACCGGCCAUCGCCGUGGCGGCCAUCCGGCGGCCCUCCCCGGCGACCCCUCGCCUAUAAGACCGGCGCCUCUUCCCACGGCGCCUGGAACCCUAAUCCCCAUUCGCCCCUCUCCCUCUCGCACGAGCCGCCGCCCGUGCGUUGCUGUCGUCGCGUCUUCGUCGUCACCGCGCACCGGGGCCUCCCUGAGCUUCACGACGAUGUCCAAGAGCACCGCCUCCCUCCUCUACUUCGACUACAUCUAAGGGAUCGAGCUGGGCGCCUCUUCUUCGCCGGGAUCGAACGCCUCUUCCUCUUCGGCCACCGACGCCUCUCCGUCAAAUACACUACGGCUGCUGCUCCUAAACUCCCAACGGGCCCUCGUGCGCCUACUAGAUGCUGGAGUCCAGGAGCUAGAGAUCCCGAGGAUGAUUCUACGUGGAGUUCGGCUUCGAGGAGUAGUUAGGAGGUCCCAGGCAGGAGGCCUUGCCUUUUCGAUCGUUGCUACUUUUGUGCUAGCCUUCUUAAGGCAAUCUUGUUUAACUUAUGUCUGUACUUAGAUAUUGUUGCUUCCGCUGACUCGUCUAUGAUCGAGCACUUGUAUUCGAGCCCUCGAGGCCCCUGGCUUGUAUUAUGAUGCUUGUAUGACUU
This 632-nucleotide ribosomal RNA is filed under the name Triticum aestivum (bread wheat). RNAcentral describes it as "partial small subunit ribosomal RNA". Lineage: Eukaryota; Viridiplantae; Streptophyta; Magnoliopsida; Poales; Poaceae. The record is from RNAcentral.